Molecule: ribosomal RNA, 553 nt
Filed under: uncultured archaeon
Lineage: Archaea
Description: bacterial SSU rRNA
Rfam family: Archaeal small subunit ribosomal RNA
Source: RNAcentral
ACGGGGUGCAGCAGGCGCGAAAACUUCACACUGUGCGAAAGCACGAUGAGGGAAUCCCAAGUGCUGGCUCGUGAGAGUCAGCUGUUUCUCUGUCUAGAAAACAGAGAGAGUAAGGGCUGGGUAAGACGGGUGCCAGCCGCCGCGGUAAUACCUGCAGCCCAAGUGGUGGCCGCUAUUAUUGGGCCUAAAACGUCCGUAGCCGGUCUAGUAAAUGCCUAGGUAAAUCGUACGGCUUAACCGUACGAAUUCCGGGUAGACUGCUGGACUUGGGACUGGGAGAGGCUAGAGGUACUCCUGGGGUAGAGGUGAAAUUCUGUAAUCCUAGGGGGACGACCAGUGGCGAAGGCGUCUAGCUAGAACAGGUCUGACGGUGAGGGACGAAGCCCUGGGGCGCAAACGGGAUUAGAUACCCCGGUAGUCCAGGGUGUAAACGCUGCCUGCUUGAUGUUAGUCGGGCUCCGAGCCCGAUUAGUGUCGGAGAGAAGUUGUUAAGCAAGCUGCCUGGGGAGUACGGCCGCAAGACUGAAACUUAAAGGAAUUGGCGGGGGAGCAC